This is a long non-coding RNA of Heterocephalus glaber (naked mole-rat), 2427 nucleotides long. RefSeq lists it as uncharacterized. Lineage: Eukaryota; Metazoa; Chordata; Mammalia; Rodentia; Bathyergidae. The record is from RefSeq and is a predicted model, not a curated record.
CCUUCGCCUACCUUCGCCUGACAGCCCGUGGCCCCGGCCCGGCCGUCGCCCCGCCCCUCGCCGCGCUGCCCCACCCCAGGUGGGCUUCAGGUCAGGCGGGCAGACUGGGCUCUUCCUAGGUGUGCCUCGCCUGCUCAAGGGAAACUGAGGCAGACUCCCUGUAGAUUCCCGAUAAUUCUGAGUGGGUGAGAAUCAGACUACCUGUGUGACAGGCAUGCAGUGGCCCACUGUCGACUGCAGAGGAGUGUGGUGGUGAUUCACAGUCAUGUUUGUGCCGGACUGCAGCUGCAUCACCACACCCAGUGACUAAGUCCUGUACGGAAGACCUGGUUUAGAUCCAGACAAUGGCAGAGAGCAGAAAGACCAUUGCCCUGUGCUUGGAAAGAUGGUGGAGUGGUGAGCAGCUGAGAGGGUCUUCCCGAGGCUUGGUGUUGAGAAUUGAAGCCUCUCAGGAGAGUGAAGGAGCCAUGGUGGUAAAGACGCAGCAGGCUACAACGGGUUCACUCCAGGACCCAUGAUGGGGUGGUAGAAGGUGGCAGAGACCUCAGACCCUGUGCUGGCAAAGAAGCCAUGUCCCUGAUAUUGGGAGGCCAAUGUGGACAGGGGUCAGGGUGACUCUCACUUCUGUAUGAGCCGGGUGUGGCAGCAGGGACUAUAAUCCUACCACUUGGACAGCUCAGGAAGGAGCAUUGCUGUGAGUUCAAGCCCAGCCUGAACUACAUAAUGAAACCUAGACUGAAGAAAACCAAACAAACAAAUAAAUGCAUGCUACAACAUUUGAGGCAUUUAUUGAGGAGAGCACCCCAUUCUAUCUGUGCCAUAGGAAUAUUUGGAGAACCAAAUAAGGCAAAGAAGGUGUGGAACCUUAGAAAGUGACAAUGCCUGAUCCAAAACCAAUGCUGGCCUCAGCAUUUGUGUGGGCCACUAGAAGCACCAGUGGCAGCGUUUCCCAAACACACCUAGAGGACCCGAUCUCCAGAUCACCCUGGGCAUCUCCAUCUGCUGCAGAUUAACCCACUUGGGAAUGUCUUGAACAACAUUCUUUCCUCUUGAGUUUUAAGAAGUGAAUUAAGCUUCUUUUAACAAUUCCACUCACUAUAAUUAAUCAGUGUAAUGCAGCAGACCAGCACGGGGAAAGCUUUUCUAGAUUUCAGUUGGAAACUUUUCUUGAUCUUUUCCUUUCUGUGUCUCUUUUUAAAGAUUCUGUCAUCUCAUAAUCUUUUUGUGCCUUUUACUUUUUAAUUAAUGCAUGCCCAUGACACAUCAUGAUCACAGGAUAAUCUGCUCUGGGGAAUCAGGACACACAUGUCAGAUCAUUUUUAUCCCCUUUCUCCCUCACCCAACUCUGCCUCCUCCCCAGAUCCUUCUCUAUCUCCAAAAAGCCGACCUCCCUGUUUCUUUUCACCUUUCUAGGCUUAAGUAAUUUUUAAAAUGAGUUCUUCAGAAUUUUUGUUAGACUGAGGUCCAGGGUUCAGAAACUCAGUUAUCCCUUGAGCCGAGCCAUGAAUUGCAGAGCAAUGAAGGUAUUUAGUAUCAUUUCCAAGCAGUGAAAUGUGGGAAAAGGAGAGAUUUAAAAUAGAGAUAUUGGCUGGGGAGGUAGCUUGGUGGCACAGGGCAUGCUCAGCAUGUGCAAGGCCCUUGUUUCUAUCCCCAGCACCUUAAAAGAAACACAAAAUAGACACAUUACCUGGAAAGUAAAGCAACUUUUUAUAACUUGCUCUAUUGUUCUUUAUAAUAUUACUUCUAAGAUUUAGCCUGGAAGUAAGAAUAAAUCUUACCUAGCUUGCUUUGUGGUUUCUAAACAGUGAUUGAAUUCUAGCAUUGCACAGUUCCUUGUGAUCUCUGUUUCUGUUUUUGCAGUUCUGGGGCUCGAACCCAAGACCUAGUGCAGUUAGACAAGCACUUUACCACUGAGCCACAUCCCCGGCCCUUGAUCUGUUUCCGAUGCAGGGCCAAUGCUGUGUCACAUCUAGUCAUGUAACAUCCAGGAUUGAGUGGAAUGGUAAUCAGUGGUUUCUAGGGAGUGACAGUGCUCAUCUCCUCAGAAAAGGAGAAGGAGUCUGAGGUUAAGAAGAAAAGACACGACUUGUGACCAGGAGACCCAGCCACUGAGGACCCACCCUGGGCCUGCCCACCAGCUGCCAGCUUAGCUGCAUGGGCAGAGCGGGUAUGGGCUGACUGUGCCCUGCUCAGUCUGGCUUGCUCCGCCCACUUGCCACCAGGAGACCCAGCCGACCCAGCCAGAGACCCAGCCAAUGAUAACCCCCCGGGCAUGCAAGAACAGCUUCCCCCCAUCACCUCUGGCCUCUUGGCUGUGCAGCUACUUGAUUCCAAACUACAGAGGCACAGGGGAACAUAAAGUCUAUUGUCCUGAGCUGCAGAAGUGAAAAACAGAGAGAGGGCCUCUCUCAGGCUCCCUGAUGAAAA